This 347-nucleotide unclassified non-coding RNA is filed under the name soil metagenome. RNAcentral's name for it is "partial contains 5.8S ribosomal RNA, internal transcribed spacer 2, and large subunit ribosomal RNA". The stretch from base 1 to 120 matches the Rfam family "5.8S ribosomal RNA", at positions 35 to 154 of the family's 154-position model. The record is from RNAcentral.
GAUGAAGAACGUAGCGAAAUGCGAAAAGUAAUGUGAAUUGCAGAAUUCAGUGAACCAUCGAAUCUUUGAACGCACAUUGCGCCCGCUGGAACUCCGGCGGGCACGCCUGUCCGAGCGUCAUUUCAACCCUCAGGCCCCCCUUCGCGGGCGGGCCUGGUGUUGGGGCCCGGCCGCUACCCUGCGGCCGUCCCCUAAAUUCAGUGGCGGCCUCGCCGUGAUCCCUUGCGUAGUAAUGCACCUCGCACCGGAGAGCGCCGUGGCCACGCCGUAAAACCCCCAAUUUUCAAUGGUUGACCUCGGAUCAGGUGGGAAUACCCGCUGAACUUAAGCAUAUCAAUAAGCGGAGA